AAAAAAAGUCUAUCGCAAGAAAAGAAAAUUUUCAUGCGCGUUACUUCAUAGUUGGAAUGAAUUCGUUGUGGAAGAACGGACGUUUGUGAUACGGACAGUUUAUUCUUUAAAGCAGAUUGGGAUUCGCGGGAAUUAAGAGGCCGUCCAACACAAACCUGAGCUUAUUCCGAUACAAUAAAAUCAGACCAUGGAAAUCGUUCCAGCCGACGAUGGCAUCCAACACAACGGUCAUAUACGAGCGGUCAUGAAAUCAACCAAAGCCACCUUUAAGGUAACCCAUAAGCAUCGCUAACCGCUUCCGCCGCAAUCUUCACCGAGAUGCUAUGUGACAUGCCAGCCAAAGCCUAGCUGAAACCGCCACUGGAAGCUGCCGCCUGCCCCCUUCCCCACAAGAAAUACGAGUUAAGCUUGAAGUUCCGGCCGGGAAGUGAAGACAUGGGAGAAUCUGAGAACUCAGUGAUCAAAAGAUGGUCCCUCAAGGGCAACGGGAUCAAGUGGAUUCGUAAAAUUUGUGGUAUCUAUGUAGUUAUUUUGAAGUUACUAUAGAAUAAAAAUUCUUCUGGAUUGAGUAUUGUUGAUGUCUGAGCAAUAAAGUUUAGCAUAAAGAUAAGAAAAUGUACGUUUAUGAUAGGGUCGGAAUGCGAAUAUGGUUUGGUGCGUCACCGAAAGACAAUAAAUAAACAAAGCCAAGAGACGACGAAAGAAAUGAUAAACUACCCGUGAUGACGGCGUGGCGGGAAGAUCGGCGUCAGGUCAGGUAAAGACGUUAGGAUCAGGUAAAACUUAGACAUAAGAAAAUCCAUAAUUGUAAGUAGAAAUAGGAAAUAAAAUUAUUACCAUCUCAGCAUCGUUAGAGUAGAGUUCAUUCUUCAUUUGUCAGAAAAGAAAGACCGUCUCUCAUUGAUUUUUGCGAAAUCGGUGUCAUCGUGAGAAGAGUAGGUUUCUUGGUUAAAGAAACAUUUGGUGGCGUUCCAGAGAGGAAUUAAGUGUUUUCCUCACGGUGACCGUUGUGACUAGUUCUUGCUUUGAUAGUGAAAUCCUAAGACACGACGGGUGAUUGGUUUAGGUAAAAGAACGAUAACGGUGAAAGUGCAUUGAGAGUAAUCAAUCAAUUCUCGGAAGUAACCCGAGAAUUAUUUGCAACAAGCAAGAAGUGAAAAGGCUCUUGGACGCGACGAACAGUCGGCCAAGUCAAAUUACAAAGGAGAAAUUCGUGAUUGUGGUGAAAAAGGCUCUUGGACGCGACGGACGGUCGGCCAAGUCAAAUUACAAAGAAGAAAUUGGUGACUGUGGUGAAAAAGGCUCUUGGGCGCGACGGACGGUCGACCAAGUCAAUCCAGCUAGAGACGAGUGGUAGCGAAGUUAGAUCAGAGGGAUGUUCAGGUGAGGCCGAAUUAUCUUUGAACGAUGUUAGUCAAGCUGAAGCUUUGAAGCAACGGUGGAAAAGGGCGCAAAUCUUGACAUCUCACUUUUGGCAACGUUGGAUUAAGGAAUAUUUACCAACCCAAGUUAAAAGAACAAAGUGGCAAGAACUUCAGAAACCCAUUGAAGUCGGUGACGUUGUAGUAAUGGCGGAUGAAAAUCGAAAAGGUU
This is a long non-coding RNA of Armigeres subalbatus, 1593 nucleotides long. RefSeq lists it as uncharacterized. The record is from RefSeq and is a predicted model, not a curated record. NCBI's taxonomy places the organism in Eukaryota, Metazoa, Arthropoda, Insecta, Diptera, Culicidae. The transcript is spliced from 3 exons.